Molecule: ribosomal RNA, 497 nt
Filed under: uncultured bacterium
Lineage: Bacteria
Description: partial 16S ribosomal RNA
Rfam family: Bacterial small subunit ribosomal RNA
Source: RNAcentral
GAUGAACGCUGGCGGCGUGCCUAACACAUGCAAGUCGAGCGAACAGACGAGGAGUUUGCUUCUCUGACGUUAGCGGCGGACGGGUGAGUAACACGAGGAUAACCUACCUAUAAGACUGGGAUAACUUCGGGAAACCGGAGCUAAUACCGGAUAAUAUAUUGAACCGCAUGGUUCAAUAGUGAAAGACGGUUUUGCUGUCACUUAUAGAUGGAUCCGCGCCGCAUUAGCUAGUUGGUAAGGUAACGGCUUACCAAGGCAACGAUGCGUAGCCGACCUGAGAGGGUGAUCGGCCACACUGGAACUGAGACACGGUCCAGACUCCUACGGGAGGCAGCAGUAGGGAAUCUUCCGCAAUGGGCGAAAGCCUGACGGAGCAACGCCGCGUGAGUGAUGAAGGUCUUCGGAUCGUAAAACUCUGUUAUUAGGGAAGAACAAAUGUGUAAGUAACUAUGCACGUCUUGACGGAACCUAAUCAGAAAGCCACGGCUAACUACGUG